Molecule: small nuclear RNA, 307 nt
Filed under: Aotus nancymaae (Ma's night monkey)
Lineage: Eukaryota; Metazoa; Chordata; Mammalia; Primates; Aotidae
Description: 7SK RNA (ENSANAG00000008349.1)
Rfam family: 7SK RNA
About the family: 7SK was discovered as an abundant small nuclear RNA in the mid-70s but a possible function has only recently been suggested.
Source: Rfam by way of RNAcentral
GGAUGUGAGGGCGAUCUAGCUGUGACAUCUGUCAUCCCAUUGACUGCCAGGGUUGAUUCGGCUGAUCUGGGUGGCUAGGUGGGUGUCCACUUCCUCUGUCACUGCUCUGUGUGCAUCCCUCCCGAUGCUGUGCACUCAGUGGAAGAGGACAACCAUCCCGGAUAGAGGAGGAUCAGUCUUUGAUCAAGGCUAUAUGAAUAGCUGCACUCCCCUGCUAGAACCUCCAAACAAGCUCUCAAGGUCCAUAAAAUAUCCAUGUAUUACCUGGGAGCUAUUCAUCCAUUAACUUACCCAGUUGUUCCUAACU